UGUACAGAAAGGAGUAAUCUGAAGUGAAUUCAUGCUAUGUUAACAGUCUAACAAACAUCUUGGAGGUGUGAAUGCUUUCUUGGGUCUGACAAGUAAUCAAUAAUUGAUGGUAUACUGGGAUUUUUCUCAUACUUCUAGCACUUCCUCAUUGACAAUAAAGCAAGUAGUAUCACAACAAAGGCUAUCCAGGUAUUUUUUUUCAACUAUAAUCCUUCCAGCUUUAGGGACUGCUCAAUUGGAUCUGCACAGUCCAACAAAAUAAAUGUGCAUACUGUCUGCGACACUUUCAUCCGAUCAUCACGAAGGUAGUUGUAGGAGUAAAAAAGUAUGUCAUACUGUUUUUUCAGUUCAAGCCAAAAGGCUAGGACAGGUAAUACUUGUUUUUACAGUACUUGUGCAAAAAGUAUGUCAUACUGUUUGCUCUAGAUGAUUUUGAUGAAUUUUACAACCUUAUUUUCAGUUGUUUACCCCAAGAAAUGGUCUGCUUUCAUGGGGUUUAUUGAAUCCAGGAAAGAACUGUGAGUAGUAGCGAACCAGACAUGAAAAGUUUCAGAGAACUACGAAAACUCCGGUCAGUUUUGUCGGGAUCUUGUGACACAGUUCCAGGACUCUAUUGACUAAGGAAAUGAUAUAUAUGUGUGAUUUAUCCUGUUAAAACUUUUAGUGUUCACUUAGGGGUGAGUGCAACCAGUAACUGAAUUUAGACUAUGAACUAGAGUAUGACAGUAAAGUCAGGAGCAUGAUGGAGAACACACGGGACAUUGAGGACUAAUGGUCAACACUUAAAUCUUGCUUUACAUACAGUUCAGUUCCAAGUAGUCUGAUACAUAGAUGGCGAGGGGAGUGCUGAUUUGGGGUUGAUUUUGGUAAUUAUAUAUUUUCCUUGAUUACUGUCAUUUUGUUGUCCUACAUGUGCUAUAUGAUAUGCAUAACAACUUGAGAGCACCUUUGCUUCUCUUGAUGUGCUUCGUCAAACAGUUUUUUAAAGUGCACAAGCAAGCUUGCGAGUGAUGACAACUACUAUGACCUACAACCUUGAAUCUAGGUUUUUGGGGUUGAACAUAGGGGCACAGCGCGCUCUCCCAUCUAACCAGUGAAGUGUAAUGAAGGAAAAGCUACAAUAUACAAAUCGUCACCGUCAUUCAGUUUGUCCAAAACUGAGAAAAGCUCUUUAAAAAAACUAGGAAAAGCUCACGUGAUGGAAUGAGAUGAGAUUUCAACAUCAUGAUUGCGUUUUAUAAUUUGAACGACCAAAGUAGAUGGUCCCGUCAGCCCGUGUUUGACAAUAUGAAGGGACAAACUUGUUGAUCCAUUAUUUUGCCAGGAAAAUACAAUAAUUCGGAGGGCUUAAAUAUGGAUAAUAGAUCUGACAUAAUCUAGCAAGGUGAGUGACUCAAUUGCACAUGUGCAAAAUGGAAGUUUAAACUUCCUUGAAUCUCUUGUAGGGUUUGGGGGCGAUUGUCAGCGAGCCACUGAUGAAAGUCCUUUUGCGAUGACAAUGCUAGAGAAGAUUUGAAAGAUCUUGGUUGGCGUGGGGCAACUUGUGUAUUCCUGGAUGGGGGCGCCGUCCGGUGGCAGUGGGGUGUGGCAGUUGCCGCAGCUGGGCACAACCGGGAGUCCACCUAUCCAGAACACCCAACUAUUUCACCCGGUGAACUGCGAAGAGCUUCUGUGUGCAUCUCCGUUAUAUUUAACUACGACAGGCUUAUGUUAUCUUAUCGCGAACUCAUUUUUCAGUUUGUGCCCAACGUGACUGCAUGUAAAUAUGUAAUACAGCAAUUUUGUUCUUCCUUUUUGUUGUUCGAUUGCCUCAGUAUACCAUCUCAAAUGUCAUUCCCUUUAUAGCUAGCACAUCAUCUCCAAAGAAUUUAUUUAAGUCGAAAU
This 1884-nucleotide long non-coding RNA is filed under the name Triticum aestivum (bread wheat). RNAcentral's name for it is "long non-coding RNA (TAES_LNC020104)". The record is from RNAcentral. Lineage: Eukaryota; Viridiplantae; Streptophyta; Magnoliopsida; Poales; Poaceae.